UACAGAGGGGGCAAGCGUUAUUCGGAAUUAUUGGGCGUAAAGGGCGCGUAGGCGGCCAUUCAAGUGACGGGUGAAAGCCCUCGGCUUAACCGAGGAACUGCCUGUCAGACUGGAUGGCUUGAGACCGGGAGAGGUGAGUGGAAUUCCCAGUGUAGCGGUGAAAUGCGUAGAUAUUGGGAGGAACACCAGUGGCGAAGGCGGCUCACUGGACCGGAACUGACGCUGAGGAGCGAAAGCGUGGGGAGCGAACAGG
This 253-nucleotide ribosomal RNA is filed under the name uncultured bacterium. RNAcentral's name for it is "partial 16S ribosomal RNA". It matches the Rfam family "Bacterial small subunit ribosomal RNA", at positions 524 to 776 of the family's 1533-position model. The record is from RNAcentral.